GUCAAUCCUGGUUAAUUCGUAGAGAGGACAUCCCCUUUCCGUACCAAGCUUCUCAGGGAGAUGCUAGGAAGGGUUUUCUGCCUGGAAUUUCACAGGGAAAGAGAAGUCUCUUUAUAAGGGAAAUGGGAGCUGACUGUUCAGAGCAGCAGAAAACCUCAACUGCCCUGAUCCAGAGAGAGACUGUCAACCAUCUUCCAAGAGCGCAGAAGCGGCUGAGCGGCCCCACGCGGAGCGGCGAGGAGAACCUUCGCAGCAGGUGCACCCAGGAGGCAGGGCUCACAAUUUUUGGAUCCCCAGGACUGGACAAUGACAUAUUGCUGGGUGGCAAUGCGUCUGAAGAAACUGAAAAUAACAGCAACAACAAAAAGAUUUAAAAGAAAAACGGAGGUUAAAAAAGAGUUGGUAAAUGGCAGCGGAGCACACAGAGGGAAACUCUGAGCCAGAGUCCAUGCCGUCACCUGGGGAAAGGGACAGCCCCCCAGCACAUAGUUGUAUAUUCUAGCUGUGAGUGCCUCUGGCUGUGCUAUGUGGGACGCCGCCUCAGCAUGGCCUGAUGAGUGGUACCAUGUCCAUGCCCAGGAUCUGAACCAGUGAAACCCGGUCCACCGAAGCGGAGCCCACCAAAACGGAGUGCACAAACUUAACCACUGGACCAUGGGGCCGGCCCCUAGGUGUUAUCUUAAAAGGACGGAAGGUGUAACGUAGCAGGAUAAAUUCAUUCUAGAAAACACAACACAUGUGAAUCAAUGAGCCUUUAUUGAGCAUCGAUUCCGGCCAGCAUUCAAUACAAGAUAAAGUAUGAGCGAAUAUUCCUGUCUUCCUGAAACUUACCGCCUAACUGCUGUUCCAAGGGUAGCACCCAGGCAAUAACCAAAGAACAAGACACAGAAAUUAAUUGUGUCAACUAGUAUGGAAGACUCCAAGAGCUGCAGACCUGAAUGAGCCUAAUCAUAUGAACAGCCAUUGAUUCCAUAAACAGUCACUGGGCAGUUUCUAGAUGUCGGGUACCUUGCUGUUGCCAUGUUGGACCCACAUGCACACAGAAGUUGACUCUUUGCCUUCAGGGAGCUUACAAUUGCUUUAGGGUGACAAGACAGACAGGCACAGGGAAAAGUAAUAAUCCUUGCAGCACUUCUUCAAGACUUCAAGCACCUUCAGAUCUACGGGGCAUUCCUUUCCUUUCUUUCAGUUUAAGUUUCCUUUUAUUUUGAAACUGAAACAGCAAAAUAAAGUGGUUUGGCUGAAACAACCUUCAGGAAAAGAAAGUGGAGCUUUUGUCAGUUAAAAAAAGAACUCCAACCUUUAUGCCAGCUCUCUACCUCCUCAGAAAAAGGAGAGGACAGAUUAGAGAGAGAAAGGGCACAAUCAAAUCAGGGGUGACAAUGGCCAGCAGAUUUACAGCAAAGGUCAACUUUCAAAGUUUCUCCAAUUACAGAAAAAAAAGGUAGCAUUUAAACUGAGAAAUAAUCACAAGCUGACAAACCCCUGACCCACUUGCAUUCGUAAAAAUCUUUGUUCCUUUUCUUGGGGGCAGUGAUGACUUGGGACAAGCAGAUGGUCCCAGCUCUCUUUUGGUUUCUUCCGCUUUUUGGAAGCAGGUUUGGGAUGGAGUGGUGAUGCCUUAUCCUCCCCACUCACAGACUCUGCACGAUCUCAUGGUUUCCACCAUUUGUAUUCUCCCUGACUCCCAAAUGCACAUCUCCACCCUAGUUCUUACUCCCGAGUUUUUGACUUGUGUAUUCAACUGUCUCCUUCUUGACUAUCUCAAAGGCAUCUCAAACUCAUCAGGUCUAAAAGGAAAUUCACCAUUUUCCUCACUAAAGUCCUUCCUCGUACUGUAUUUCUCUCUCAGUAAUUGCCAUCCCUGUCCACUCAACUGUUCCAGUCAGAAUCCUGGGAGGUAUCCUUGACUCUGGUCACUCUGGCUUCCAAUAUAACUUAUCCAAUCCUGUAGAUCAGCCUUCUCAGAAUUACCUGUGCCUUCCCUUCUUCCCCACUGAGCCUGUCUCAGUUCACUUCAUAUAUGGUUCACUAAAAUAGCUUCCUGAGGGGCUGGCCCCGUGGCCGAGUGGUUAAGUUCAUGCGCUCUGCUUCGGCGGCCCAGGGUUUCGCCAGUUCGGAUCCUGGGCGCAGACAUGGCACCGCUCAUCAGACCAUGCUGAGGCAGCAUCCCACAUGCCACAACUAGAGGGACCCACAACUAAAAAUACACGGCUGUGUACUGGAGGGCUUUGGGAGAAAAAGGAAAAAUGAAAUCUUUAAAAAAAAAAAAA
Long non-coding RNA from Equus caballus (horse), 2273 nucleotides. The record is from Ensembl. Lineage: Eukaryota; Metazoa; Chordata; Mammalia; Perissodactyla; Equidae.